This is a long non-coding RNA of Rhododendron vialii, 821 nucleotides long. RefSeq lists it as uncharacterized. The transcript is spliced from 3 exons. The record is from RefSeq and is a predicted model, not a curated record. NCBI's taxonomy places the organism in Eukaryota, Viridiplantae, Streptophyta, Magnoliopsida, Ericales, Ericaceae.
CUGAGAAGGUUUGAUGCAGCCAUCGUCUACUGCCUUGUCAAUGAAAGUUAACAGGGAGUUAUAGCACCCAUCCACAUUCAGCAAACCCACCUGCAUAUAUUUCAUUGGGAUGGUGAACUCAGACAUGCACAUUAGUUCAUGCAAUCAGUGACAGCUUACUAAAAUGGUAUAUUGGACCAUAUUAUAUGCAGGUAAUCAUGCUCUGAACUAUUUCAGAACCACAUACGAGUAGUAUUUAUGAGGAAUCCGUGCACUAAGCCAUGAACCUCAUGAGAAUGUGUGGCUACAGAGCGGUCGGAGCACGCGCUCCCAGACUAGUGAACUAUGCAGCCACAAUAUGAUAUGAAGGAUUUUGGGCAAAAGACUUACGGGCUUGUCAUGGAUGCCAAGUUGAGCCCAAGUUAUGACUUCCAAUAUGGGACCUGGUAGGGCAAUGAAGCAGUCGGAGUGGCGGGCCAUCUCGGCUUUCCUCUCAUGCAUAUCCGCCACAGCCUUGACCUCACCAACCAUUUCACCUGUCAAUUGAUCCCCCCGAUGGAACCCACCGAUUAAACAAUGAUUCCAGUUGCAAAUACAAGAGAAAACCCCCCCAAAUAAAAUUUAAUUUCUCUAUGUAUAGAUAUACCUCUUUGCUCAUCAGAGUUUUGGGUAUGAUUCUGUAGCGAGGGGGAAAAAUGGAAAAGAAAAAAUCAAGUUUGAUGGAUUUAAGUGGAUGAUUUCUAAGCAAGAAAUAGAAUGUUGAGCAAAAUACACUGAAGUUAAAAGGUACGUACCCAAAAACUGAGAGAGUGAGAUUGUGAGAGACAGAGAGUCAGAGAGAG